Molecule: long non-coding RNA, 853 nt
Filed under: Zea mays
Lineage: Eukaryota; Viridiplantae; Streptophyta; Magnoliopsida; Poales; Poaceae
Description: long non-coding RNA NONZMAT004179
Source: RNAcentral
AGCUACCAAAGAGGGGGAGAAUUCAGAGGAGAAUGUUUCCGACACUAGGGAUAAUGCUACCAUGCUAGCCCUUUAGUGCAAUGGUCUGAUGACUGAUCCAACUCAACCCUAAUGUGUGGAGAAUCCAAAAUGAGCUCAAUAUUUUUGGCCAGUGAGUUUGGGGCCCCUUUCUACCCGUGAGUUUCUAUGGCCAAUUUCUAGGCCUAUCUGCAUGGUGUCGUCAGCGGAGGUGGUGGCGGUCCUUGUGGGGACAGGACGCUCGCCGAGAUCAGGCUCAACCACAUCACCAUCCACGCCAACCCGCUCGUCCUCUGAACUCGCUCAUGUCCCGCCUGCCUACCUGGCUCGGCUCAUCCACUAGGAUCUGAGUGCAAAAUCAACCUUGUGAAUUCGGAUGAGGUGAGUAUUUUGCUGAGGACACUGAUUCGAAACAUCAAUCGAUGUGUAGCUCUCUAAAUCUAUACUGAUGCCGUGACAUGUAACUUUCUGGGUAUUUGCUAGCUUUGUUUUGCCUGUUUUUUCUUGCUUCCUCAAACAUCAAAAUCUUCACCGGCGACAGGGUGUGUUUGGAAACUACAUGGGAAAUGGCAUGAGAAUUAGUGGUGUGAGUUGACAUUAAUAUGUGAUUGCAGGUGCACCGGUGUUCAGCACUUUGCGCUACUCUUGAUUGUCCUCUCCUACAGUUCUGGUUCUAGAUACCACUUGCAUAGGUUGUAUCCUAAAGACUAUAGUUCUGCAUUGAUAUAAAAAGCUUGAUUACUUGCUUCGGAUGAUUCACACGAUCACAACCAAGACGACACCUUACCUAGAGAUUGUGGUAACUUCCAAUUCACCUGUUCUUUUUGGAUUGGUG